GAACUAUGUUCUCCUGGCUCAUGGAAUUCCUGAAACCGUAAUUACCGACAAUGGGGUUCAAUUUACGGGAUCGGAGUUUCGUAGCCUGUUGGAGAAAUAUAACGUCCCUCGUGUACAUUACGGUCCUAGAUACACGCCACAGAUAAACUUGGUCGAAAGGUAUAACAAAACAGUAAUGACUGCCGUAUCUUCGUACGUGAAAGAAGAUCAUAGAACCUGGGAUCUCAAUUUGUUUAAGAUUCAGUUCGCACUUAACAGUGCUGUGAACGAAUCUACCGGAUUUACACCGUUCUUUUUGGUUCAUGGCAGAGAACCUAUAAUAAAUGGCUCCUUUUAUAAGCAAACGGACGACUGCGAGUAUGAAGUUGCUAUGCCAAGAGAAGACUAUGCAGGGGAGUUUGGCGUCUUGAAGGAAGUGUUCGAGAAGGUACGUUCGCAUUUGCUGAAGGCCCACGCUACGAACACCAAGUACUACAACCUCAGAAGACGUAACGUCAAACUUUCAGAGGGUCAGGAGGUGUGGCGCAAAACGUACAUUCAGAGUGACGCUGAGAAGUUCAAGGCUACCAAGCUUGCCCCAAAGUACGAGAAGUGCAUUGUCAAGAAGGUACUAUCUCCGCUUGUUUAUGAAUUAAUUGCUCACAAUGGCAAGCCUCUCGGUACUUGGCAUAUCAAGGACAUCAAGGUUUAAUCCUUGUCUUUUGUUUUCACCCUCAGUUCGCCGAAUAGUUUUUUUGCCAGGGUUCUCAGCCGUAGGACUUGUUUCACAAGUGUUGUUUGGUAUUCUACCAACAAUGACGCCAAGGCUACUUUUCCCUUUUAGGGAAACCUUUAGGUUAGUUUUUUUUUGUGAUCGCCCCAUUUAGGGUAUGCGAUUUAAUUUUCUUUUUUCGAGUGGACAAGUAUCUGCUGUAUACUUGCCUCGUGUUUUUUUUUCUCUGUGACUUUAUAGUCCAGAUUUUUGUUUCCAGGGAUGACAUCAUGUGUUUUGAGCACUAUUCCCUGUGGUUGUGUUUUGUUGCGAUGACGUCCAAUUAUAUUGUUAUCAGCGACGUUUUGUUCUGCGGUUUUAUAACCCAGGCAUUUUUAUUUUAUUUUAGCAAAUAAUGUUAGUUAUGGCCGAAAUAGCCUAACAACGUUUUGGAAAAAGAACGAGUAGAAUUGCAUGUCAAGUUCUACUUUACUGGGGAAAUCGAGUACCACUGGUUCACAGUUGGGACUUUAUGGGGAAUUUUGGAUGCUCGGACAGGAGAGAUUUUUUUGGCUGGUAGAACAUCAGUCCUGGUAGAUGGAUUAUUUUGGUUUGGUAUUGCUUUUGUGAAAGUUUAGUUAUAGUUAGUAAGUUAGUUUUUUUUUCUCAAUUGGACUUUUUGGGGGUCUUUCUGGUGUAAAGAUUCAUUUUUUUUUUCUCUUUUUCAGUUUGUAGUUCGCUGAGGGCAGCUCAGAUUCUUUCUCCGUGCGAAUGUCUAGGGGGGAGGGUAUUGUAACGUUGCCGUUUGCUGUUUUUUCACAAAUUAAUAUUUCUUCUCAAUAUUCUGAUUUUGGAUACCACUGGCGACAUCUAUUGGCGUGAUUUAGAAUUAAUUUGCAAUAGAUGGCGCUUUUUGCUCAGUUAAUUGAAAUAUACUUUGAUGAAACAUUUCCUAGUGUUUUUAUAUUGAUUAUUCUAUUUUUCAAAUAGAAUAUUUUCAGUGUUCUGGAAAUUGUUUUCAUCAUGGUUUUAUUAGUACAGUAUUUACUUUUUCAAACGGCGAAACGAAACGUAUCGCGAUGUCUAUGACAGAGCGGCUGUCAGUGGAGCUGUCAAAUCACUUAGGAAUUUGUCGAUCGUGCGCAACCGCAAUUUGAUUAUUUUCGGGAAUGUAAUUCCUUUUAUUUCAAAUCGGGUGGUGCAAAAUGCAUCCACGAUAAUUUCUUGAUGAAUAAAUAAAAAUAACACACAUGAGAGAUUCCCUAAAUCGUAUUCGGAUGAGGGUAUUGGGAUGCUGAAAACUGCGAGUAAGGUUUAAAUUAGCGAGCGGUUUUCGUGAGUAUUUGUUUCCCAUUGCGGUUUUUUUCAUAACCUAAUGCCACGUUCCACUUGUGAUUCUGACACUAGUAUUUUUCGUUUCAGAUGCGGGAUUUCAUAAUUUUACAAUAUUUUGUAGUUUAAACAAUUUCAUAAAUUUCAUAGAUUUCAUAUUUUACAUGUUGAUAUUUCAUAUAUUUUAAUUUCUCUUCAUUUCGUAUCAAAUAUUUGUCCUUUCUAAACUGCUGAUCUCUUCGCAUUUCCUCCUUGUCAUCAAACCUCUGUCUCUGCAAGAGUUUGGACGCUUACCUGUCGAAGAGAUGCAAGAGCUUCAUCUGGCACUGCGCGCUUGAGGCCGUGGAGGACGCUGCUUGGAGCCUAAAAGUGUGCGAGACCCGUUGGACCCCGGAAGAAGAGAGGAACGUUCAGGGUAACGGCUUAUAACCGCAUGGCUUCCAAGGUACCCACUUUUCCAUCCUUCAAGUAGGAGUCUUUCCGACCUGACAUCGUGCAGUUAUCUUAACUAUUAGAGUCUUUUAAUAUUUAGGCUGAGUUUUAAGAAAUUUGUAGUGGCAAUAAUAUUCACCAAACCGAACCUAAUUAACGACCCUGAAUCCCUUGAGAUUGGCACUAUUACAGUAGUUAUUAUAAUAUCGUAAUUGUUAACUAUAUAGGAGCAUACGAGAUAAAAAUAAAUUGUGUCAAUUGA
This is a long non-coding RNA of Ostrinia nubilalis (European corn borer), 2717 nucleotides long. RefSeq lists it as uncharacterized. NCBI's taxonomy places the organism in Eukaryota, Metazoa, Arthropoda, Insecta, Lepidoptera, Crambidae. The record is from RefSeq and is a predicted model, not a curated record. The transcript has 2 exons.